CUGCCUUGUGCCUCGCUCGAUUGUGUAUUCUGCCAUUACACAUUCUUGAGCUGGAUGAUCAGACAAUUGUUAGAUCAAUGGGCUAUAAAAACCGUUAGACUUCUUUUGAGUACGAAUUUACCUUUGGAUUAUUCCUAUUUAUGGUAAAAUUUGUAAUUAGAGUGUCUCACAAAU
Molecule: small nucleolar RNA, 174 nt
Filed under: Lachancea fermentati
Lineage: Eukaryota; Fungi; Ascomycota; Saccharomycetes; Saccharomycetales; Saccharomycetaceae
Source: RNAcentral